UACGGAGGGUGCGAGCGUUGUUCGGAAUUACUGGGCGUAAAGCGCGUGUAGGCGGUUGGGCAAGUCAGAUGUGAAAGCCUUCUGCUUAACAGAAGAAGUGCAUUUGAAACUACCCGGCUAGAGUACGAGAGAGGAGAGUGGAAUUCCCGGUGUAGAGGUGAAAUUCGUAGAUAUCGGGAGGAACACCAGUGGCGAAGGCGGCUCUCUGGCUCGAUACUGACGCUGAGACGCGAAAGCGUGGGGAGCAAACAGG
This 253-nucleotide ribosomal RNA is filed under the name uncultured bacterium. Its description in RNAcentral is "partial 16S ribosomal RNA". It matches the Rfam family "Bacterial small subunit ribosomal RNA", at positions 524 to 776 of the family's 1533-position model. The record is from RNAcentral.